UACGUAGGGGGCAAGCGUUGUCCGGAAUCAUUGGGCGUAAAGCGCACGUAGGCGGCUUUGCAAGUCAGAGGUGAAAGCCCGGGGCUCAACCCCGGAAUUGCCUUUGAGACUGCAUCGCUAGAAUUGUGGAGAGGUAAGUGGAAUUCCGAGUGUAGAGGUGAAAUUCGUAGAUAUUCGGAAGAACACCAGUGGCGAAGGCGACUUACUGGACACAUAUUGACGCUGAGGUGCGAAAGCGUGGGGAGCAAACAGG
RNAcentral lists this ribosomal RNA (253 nucleotides) under uncultured bacterium. RNAcentral's name for it is "partial 16S ribosomal RNA". It matches the Rfam family "Bacterial small subunit ribosomal RNA", at positions 524 to 776 of the family's 1533-position model. The record is from RNAcentral.